AUGUGGAGCUGUAAUAUAUUUAAAAAAAAAAAAGGCGGCCUCUCCCAUCUUUGCCAGCAUUUUGAGUUCGGAGUAGUCUCGCUCUCCAGAAAAACCUCUGGCCUCGGCUUCGAUCCCUCCAGCGAGCGCGAAGUCCUUCCUGAUCCGAAGGAUACUGGCGAUGGACCUGGCGAGUUUUUCCAGUGCGACUGGGAGGCUCAGGAAGCAAGAGGGACUUUCAAGAGGCUGAAUUCAGCUCCAGGACCCUCUUGGAAAACGGGAUACCCAGGCUUGUGGGCACAACGAAAGUGGUACCCGACCUGUGUGUCCCAGGGAGAGCCAGGAACCUGGUGCGGAGUCAUCUCGCGCAGGAUAUAACGGACUGCUGGACCCACUCAGACUGGUCACUCCAGUACUGGGGGGUGGGGAGUGGAGGGGAGGGGAAGGGGAGAAGCGAAGCCUCUCCUGCUGCUUUUGGACAGAUGAAUGAACUGGUAGAACUGGAAAGGAUGGGGCUUAGAGCCCUUCAGUGAACUGAAAGCAAUAGAGAACUCAAAGACAGGGCUUCUGCUUUCAUGGAGUUUACAGGCUAGUAGCCACAUGACUAAAAUAAAGAUGCACUCCGGAAAGGUGGAAAGAAUGGU
Molecule: long non-coding RNA, 623 nt
Filed under: Monodelphis domestica (gray short-tailed opossum)
Lineage: Eukaryota; Metazoa; Chordata; Mammalia; Didelphimorphia; Didelphidae
Description: lncRNA (ENSMODG00000045882.1)
Source: RNAcentral